Molecule: unclassified non-coding RNA, 455 nt
Filed under: Hevea brasiliensis (rubber tree)
Lineage: Eukaryota; Viridiplantae; Streptophyta; Magnoliopsida; Malpighiales; Euphorbiaceae
Source: RNAcentral
AAAGAUAACGUUGAUAUGUUGAAAUUGAUUCAAUUGGGUCUCACGUUCUCUGACGAUAAUGGGAAUUUGCCCACUUGUGGAACAGAUAAGUUCUGCGUUUGGCAGUUCAAUUUCCGUGAGUUCAGUAUCAGCGAGGACAUAUUUGCUAGUGAUUCUAUUGAGCUGUUGCGCCAAUGUGGGAUUGAUUUUAAGCAGAAUAAUGAGAAUGGUAUUGAUGUAAACCGGUUUGGUGAGCUUCUGAUGUCAUCAGGAAUUGUUUUGAAUGACAGCGUGCAUUGGGUUACAUUUCAUAGUGGGUACGAUUUUGGGUACUUGCUUAAACUUUUGACUUGCAAGAGUCUGCCUGAUACACAAGCAGGAUUCUUCGACUUGAUCAGUAUGUACUUUCCCAUGGUGUAUGAUAUCAAGCAUUUGAUGAAGUUUUGCAAUAGCCUUCAUGGUGGGUUGAACAAGCU